This 77-nucleotide ribosomal RNA is filed under the name Enterobacter cloacae. RNAcentral's name for it is "partial 16S ribosomal RNA". It matches the Rfam family "Bacterial small subunit ribosomal RNA", at positions 1 to 75 of the family's 1533-position model. The record is from RNAcentral. Lineage: Bacteria; Pseudomonadati; Pseudomonadota; Gammaproteobacteria; Enterobacterales; Enterobacteriaceae. RNAcentral also lists the same sequence under 105 other names.
UUAAAUUGAAGAGUUUGAUCAUGGCUCAGAUUGAACGCUGGCGGCAGGCCUAACACAUGCAAGUCGAACGGUAACAG